This 64-nucleotide transfer RNA is filed under the name Laemobothrion maximum. RNAcentral describes it as "tRNA-Ala". Lineage: Eukaryota; Metazoa; Arthropoda; Insecta; Psocodea; Laemobothriidae. The record is from RNAcentral.
UCGGAUAGUAGUAUAAAUUUACAUUUACUCUGCAAGUAAAAAAUAAACCUUGUUUCUAUCUGAU